RNAcentral lists this ribosomal RNA (459 nucleotides) under uncultured bacterium. RNAcentral describes it as "partial 16S ribosomal RNA". It matches the Rfam family "Bacterial small subunit ribosomal RNA", at positions 338 to 795 of the family's 1533-position model. The record is from RNAcentral.
CCUACGGGUGGCAGCAGUGAGGAAUAUUGGUCAAUGGGCGCGAGCCUGAACCAGCCAAGUCGCGUGAGGGAAGACGGUCCCAUGGAUUGUAAACCUCUUUUGUCGGGGAGCAAAAGACGCCACGCGUGGCGUUCCGAGAGUACCCGAAGAAAAAGCAUCGGCUAACUCCGUGCCAGCAGCCGCGGUAAUACGGAGGAUGCGAGCGUUAUCCGGAUUUAUUGGGUUUUAAGGGUGCGCAGGCGGAAGAUUAAGUCAGCGGUAAAAUUGAGAGGCUCAACCUCUUCGAGCCGUUGAAACUGGUUGUCUUGAGUGAGCGAGAAGUAUGCGGAAUGCGUGGUGUAGCGGUGAAAUGCAUAGAUAUCGCGCAGAACUCCGAUUGCGAAGGCAGCAUACCGGCGCUCAACUGACGCUCAUGCACGAAAGUGUGGGUAUCGAACAGGAUUAGAUACCCGGGUAGUC